GAUGAACGCUGGCGGCGUGCCUAAUACAUGCAAGUCGAGCGAACGGACGAGAAGCUUGCUUCUCUGAUGUUAGCGGCGGACGGGUGAGUAACACGUGGAUAACCUACCUAUAAGACUGGGAUAACUUCGGGAAACCGGAGCUAAUACCGGAUAAUAUUUUGAACCGCAUGGUUCAAAAGUGAAAGACGGUCUUGCUGUCACUUAUAGAUGGAUCCGCGCUGCAUUAGCUAGUUGGUAAGGUAACAGCUUACCAAGGCAACGAUGCAUAGCCGACCUGAGAGGGUGAUCGGCCACACUGGAACUGAGACACGGUCCAGACUCCUACGGGAGGCAGCAGUAGGGAAUCUUCCGCAAUGGGUGAAAGCCUGACGGAGCAACGCCGCGUGAGUGAUGAAGGUCUUCGGAUCGUAAAACUCUGUUAUUAGGGAAGAACAUAUGUGUAAGUAACUGUGCACAUCUUGACGGUACCUAAUCAGAAAGCCACGGCUAACUACGUG
RNAcentral lists this ribosomal RNA (497 nucleotides) under uncultured bacterium. RNAcentral describes it as "partial 16S ribosomal RNA". It matches the Rfam family "Bacterial small subunit ribosomal RNA", at positions 28 to 507 of the family's 1533-position model. The record is from RNAcentral.